Molecule: ribosomal RNA, 253 nt
Filed under: uncultured bacterium
Lineage: Bacteria
Description: partial 16S ribosomal RNA
Rfam family: Bacterial small subunit ribosomal RNA
Source: RNAcentral
UACGUAGGGACCAAGCGUUGUUCGGAUUUACUGGGCGCAAAGGGCGCGUAGGCGGCGCGGUAAGUCACUUGUGAAAUCUCUGAGCUUAACUCGGAACGGCCAAGUGAUACUGCAGUGCUAGAGUGUGGAAGGGGCAAUCGGAAUUCUUGGUGUAGCGGUGAAAUGCGUAGAUAUCAAGAGGAACACCUGAGGUGAAGACGGGUUGCUGGGCCAACACUGACGCUGAUGCGCGAAAGCCAGGGGAGCAAACGGG